Molecule: long non-coding RNA, 380 nt
Filed under: Homo sapiens (human)
Lineage: Eukaryota; Metazoa; Chordata; Mammalia; Primates; Hominidae
Description: non-protein coding lnc-MOGAT1-1:2
Source: RNAcentral
CUUUGGGCUUUUCCUCUCUCUGCAGGGUUUCUGGCUGAUAAAGGUAUAUAGGAGGUUCUGAAAUGUUAUUGAGUGAAUGAAUAAAUUAGCACUAGAAAAAAAGCAUGGACUUUGGAAGAGGACCAGAAUUUAAAACCAGACUAGAAGUGUAGAGUUGGGGGAACUCAACCCAUUUCCCACCACUUCCAUCGACCUCCUGUGGCAUCCUAAUGUUCAGAAGGAGAAGAACAUUCUAGAAGGAGAACAAAAUUCUAUCAGCAAGAAGUAUAAUACUCUUGUGCCAAAGGUGUGCACAAUCAGCCAAGUGACCUGAGAAAUGCAAGUCCUGGCUCUAUUGAGGUCAUCAAGGAGAAAGCAAGCCGCUGGCAAGUCAGGAAUCU